This 26-nucleotide non-coding RNA is filed under the name Homo sapiens (human). Lineage: Eukaryota; Metazoa; Chordata; Mammalia; Primates; Hominidae. The record is from RNAcentral.
GAUGAUGUUGUACAGACAAGAGAUAA